GAUUGGGGGUGGAUCUGACGUCCCUGAGUGUAUGUGGUGAACCGGAAUGUGCCUUGGGUUUCCUCAUAUUCAUUCAGGAGUGUCAGCUGCCCCUUUA
This is a microRNA precursor of Tupaia belangeri (northern tree shrew), 97 nucleotides long. The record is from Ensembl. Lineage: Eukaryota; Metazoa; Chordata; Mammalia; Scandentia; Tupaiidae.